This 718-nucleotide ribosomal RNA is filed under the name Cryphalomimus ater. RNAcentral's name for it is "partial large subunit ribosomal RNA". It matches the Rfam family "Eukaryotic large subunit ribosomal RNA", at positions 406 to 841 of the family's 3401-position model. Lineage: Eukaryota; Metazoa; Arthropoda; Insecta; Coleoptera; Curculionidae. The record is from RNAcentral.
CGUUUAGGGGUAAACCUGAGAAACCCGAAAGGUCGAAGGAAGAAAUUCAUUCGUGUUUCGUUGAUUAGCAAUAAGUGGAAUUUGUUGUGACGUGUUAUUAUAUCUUUAUAUUAACAUGCACCGUCCAUUUAUUUGAACUGAUUACGAACGCGUGCACUUUUCUUCUGGUAGGACGUCGCGAUCCGUUGAGUGUUUGUCUACGAUUAUUGUGGUGGAGAUUAUUUGUUAAAUUUUCGGAUUUUGAUAAAUAAACCCAUAUAAUCUGGCUAACUUGCUCGACGGUAUAAUUGAAUGGUUAAAGGCCGCUAAUUUAAUUUAGCGUUCAACUUAUUACAAGCGCGCUAGAUGUAUGUUGAUAAUCGGACCUAGUGCCGAUUUUGACCUCUAGUGACUGUUGGUAAUAAUGUUCUUGAACAGACCUUUAUAUUUUUUAAAUAAAACCAAUCAGCGACGCUAUAGCUUUGGGUAAUUUCAGGACCCGUCUUGAAACACGGACCAAGGAGUCUAGCAUGUACGCAAGUCAUUGGGAUUUUUAAUAAAAACCUAAAGGCAUAAUGAAAGUAAAAAUUUUUCCUUGUGAAAAAUUAAGGGAAGACAGGUAAUAUUGUCGUUAAAAACAUAUUACUUUGCAUUCCCGGGGCGUUUCAUUCUUAUUGUUAGAAGAGGCGCACCAAGAGCGUACACGCUGGGACCCGAAAGAUGGUGAACUAUGCCUGGU